UUGUUUAUUAAUAUUUAUACGAAUUUAAACUUUUAAGAAGUUUUUGGGG
RNAcentral lists this non-coding RNA (49 nucleotides) under Plasmodium falciparum 3D7. The record is from RNAcentral. Lineage: Eukaryota; Apicomplexa; Aconoidasida; Haemosporida; Plasmodiidae.